AGUGCAUGAUGUGAGAGUAGAGCUCUGCCAGUGUGAGCCGGAAGCAGUGCCAUUGGUCAGGUACAUGAGCCAGAAGCAGUGUCAUUGGUCUCGAACACCCCACCAGCCUCAGACUGCAGUGGUCUGCUCACUACUCAAGCGGAUAACCAGCCUGCAGCUUGAGAGUGGUGUCACUGAGGGCCAUUGGCCUGUCAUUCAAUUUUCAUCAUAGGACAGGAAGAGACUUGUAUACCGCCCUGACAAAUGAGGCCUAUGAGGAGUUCUGACAUACUUGAUAUGUUGUGCCGUCUGGCCCCAGAAACUGCCGAUGGAACCCAGUGCCCACUCUGUCCCAAGGACAAUGGAACAGUGGUGGUAGCAGCGAAUGGGCUUUUUGGUUUGCCUAGGAAAGUUGUCUGGAUCAAGUUAUGAGCCAUCAAAACAUGAGGAAAAAGUUCACAAGUACUUUGCAAACCAAGCUGAUGUGGAUGGAUUGGUUUGUAAGCCCAUAUCACUGACGGGUAAUACCUGAAUGUAAUGUGCACUGCAUUUUAAAGAUACCUUCCAUUAUUACCUUAUGCACAACUGGAAGGGAAUGUGAACUAAAUCUAGAAUGAUUUGAACUCAUGAUACCAAACCUUGCCACUAAUUCACAUUUAAAUGUUGCAGUGGUCCAUCCACUUCAUCUGUUUGGCUCAGUGGUCUUAAGGUUGGAGACGGUAUGUUGGUAUUGUGUGUGUUUAAUGUAAUAUUAUUGGUUGUGUCAUGCAACAUCCAUUUAGGUACUGAAUCUGGCACCACUGUUUGUGAUCUGCUUCAGGCAACAGCUCAGUACGUUAUGCCUGUACUGUACUUGAUAUUUAAAAAAAUAAUGUUUAAGGUUGCCAUGGAUUUCAAGCGGGCAACGCCAUUAGGUCCAAACCCAAAAUAACGGAAUUGGACGAGACAGGCGUGUUGGGGCGUUCCUGCGAGAACGAGGACCCGAUUCACUUCCUGAACAUGAAAAAGGGUGAAAGUUUGUCAAAUGCAGUGUACUUACUGAGAGAGAUGAAGGAGGGUAUGAGAGGCAAGAACAUCAAUCUCAUCUUCAUGUAUGACAUUGCAUGCAAGAUGCAGCCACACAUGCAAAUGAAAUUCAAGACUAGGUAUUUCGAAGGUGCUGGACUGGCAGAUGGGGAGCAGAUGGAGAGGUUGUGGUUGUAUCUGAGGCGCUUUGGGAAGCUCACCAAAGAAAUGACGCCGUCCCAUUGUAUUGACCUCCUGACGGAUGCACCUCUCCACCAUGGGAAAAAGAUACGCCAGAGGCAAUGUUAGUACACUUGGAAUUGUUCUUCAUCUACUUGAUGCUGCUUGACUCUAGUGAUGUUCCUAACAUGUCCUGUUUUUUGUUUUGUAUUAGUGGACUCUCAGCCACAGAGGCUUUACCGAGCAAGAUAAGUUGCAACAGGCAGGAAGGGAAAUGGCAGAAAUUUGCAUAGUCUCUUCCAUGUAAUUAUUGUAUCAAUAAUGUCACAUCCUGACCUUAGUUCCUUUUUUAUGUCUCUAUUUUAGUUUGGUCAGGGCGUGAGUUGGGGUGGGCAUUCUGUUUUGUUCUGUGUGUUAUAUUUCUAUGUGUUUGAUCUGGUUUGGUUCCCAAUCAGAGGCCAGCUGUCUAUCGUUGUCUCUGAUUGAGAACCAUACUUAGGCAGCCUGUUUUCCCACUAUGGGUUGUGGGUAGUUGUUUUCUGUUUUGUGUGUAUUGCACCUUGCAGAACUGUUUGUUUGUCGUUGUGUUUAUUUUUUUUUCAAGUAUUCGUAUUUAUUUAAAGUAUUAUGAACACUUAAUACGCUGCACCUUGGUCCUCUUCUCCUUCUCCCGACGAUAACUUCUCCCGACGAUAAUCGUUACAAAUAAUCUAAUCAUUGAAUUUCAGUAUUGAUUAGAAAUGUUGUCACAUUUGUCACUGGUGUUAUGUUUUAAGUACAACUCUGGACAACAUUAGGGAUUGGGGCAGGAAUGUCAGUGUCACCAUUGAGAAGCAAAAACCUGCUCUGUGCUGGGUGGAGCAAUAUGUUGCAAUGCAACAUACCAUUGCAAUGUAUGUAAUUUAUUUCAAAUGACUAAACAAAGUUGUUAUAUUUUGUUAUGCAUUAUUGUAUGCCCUCUAAUACAUUUUUGAUUUUUCACGGCACAGCAGGAAAGUGGAGGUGGAAUAUCUGUUUAUCAGCUUGUGCAGAUCGAGAGGUACUUCCUCAGUGUGUUUUGAAACAGUACAAUUGUUAGAUCAAUGAAUAUAAUUGAUCUCCCUGGUAAAAUUAUUUAGAACAUUUCUGAUUACAGAAAACUCAAGACGUUAGAGAGACAGAACAGUAUCCUCAAUCGAUGGUCCCCCACCAGCAGUCGCUUCCAAACUGCACUCCACAGACAGCAGAGUAACAGAUUGAGCACCAAUCUGGAGGGAACCUUCAGUCUGCUGCUAGAACAGAGGUUCCUCUGUGGCCUGAUGAGAAAAUAUACAGGUUAUAUACAGUGCCUUCGGAAAGUAUUCAGACCUCUUGACUUUUUCCACAAUUUUUUAUGUUACAGCCUUGUUCUAAAAUGGAUUUUAAAAAAUGAAAUCCCCAGAAAUCUACACACAAUACCCCAUAAUGACAAAGCAAAAACAUUGCUUUAGACAUUUUUGCAAAUGUAUGAAAAAUUUAAAACAUGAAUACCUUAUUUACAUAAUUAUUCAGACCCUUUGCUAUAAGACUCGAAAUUGAGCUCAGGUGCAUCCUGUUUCCAUUGAUCAUCCUUCAGAUGUUUCUACAACUUGAUUGGAGUCCACGUGUGGUAAAUUCAAUGGGUUGGACAUGAUUUGAAAAGGCAUACGCUUGUCUAUAUAAGGUCCCACAGUUGACAGUACAUGUCAGAGCAAAAACCAAGCCAUGAGGUUGAAGGAAUUGUCCGUAGAGCUCUGAGACAGGAUUGUGUCGAGGCACAGAUCUGGGGAAGGGAACCAAAAUAUUCCUGCAGCAUUGAAAGUCCGCAAGAACACAGUGGCCUCCAUCAUUCUUAAAUGGAAGAAGUUUAGAACCACCAAGACUCUUCCGAGAGCUGGCCGCCUAGCCAAACUGAGCAAUUGGGGGAGAAGUGCCUUGGUCAAGGAGGUGCAAAGAUGAACGGAGCAAAGUACAGAGAUCCUUGAUGAAAACCUGCUCAAGCGCGCUCAGGACCUCAGACUGGGGCGAAGGUUCACCUUCCAACAGGACAACGACCCUAAGCACACAGCCAAGACAAUGCAGGAUUGGCUUCGGGACAAUAAUCUUUUUGGGCAUUUCGGUUUAAUUGUUAGAUGCGAUACAGGCAAUUUUUGAAUGUAAUUUACUAUUUAUGUCAGGGUGAGGGGAACCUGACAUGAUCCUGGUAUACCCCAACCUCAGUCUAAUGGAAUAGACAGGUUUGCUUCCUCCAAAGUAUUGUCUUUUCAUUGACCUGUUAGUUGUAGAGUUUGUAAAUAUAAAUGUAGAUUAUUUUAAAUAUUGUCAUUUGAACAUCUAGAUCACCAUUACCAUCUUUAAAUAAAAUCAUAACUUCUUGCAUCUGA
Oncorhynchus nerka (sockeye salmon) is the source of this 3545-nucleotide long non-coding RNA. RefSeq lists it as uncharacterized. The record is from RefSeq and is a predicted model, not a curated record. The transcript is spliced from 5 exons. NCBI's taxonomy places the organism in Eukaryota, Metazoa, Chordata, Actinopteri, Salmoniformes, Salmonidae.